GGUUAAAAAGCUCGUAGUUGGAUCUUGGAAUGUGAACGCGAGGUCGCUUUACUGAGUGAACUUUGUGGCGCAUUCUUCCAUUUGGUCGGUGUGUUUGUGCUCUUAAUUGAGUGCAACAUGCUACCAGAAAUUUUACCUUGAAAAAAUUAGAGUGUUCAAAGCAGACCUUUUUGUGUCUGAAUAUUCGUGCAUGGAAUAAUAAAAUAUGAAUUCGGUUCUAUUUUAUUGGUUUUCGGAACUCGAGUUAAUGAUUAAGAGGGACAGACGGGGGCAUCCGUACUCUGCCGUUAGAGGUGAAAUUCCUGGAUCGGCGGAAGACGCGCAACUGCGAAAGCAUUUGCCAAGAAUGUUUUCUUUAAUCAAGAACGAUAGUCGGAGGUUCGAAGACGAUCAGAUACCGUCCUAGUUUCGACUGUAAACUAUGCCAGCUAACGAUCAGACAGCGUUCUCUACGACUUGUCUGGCAGUUUCCGGGAAACCAAAGCUUUUGGGUUCCGGGGGAAGUAUGGUUGCAAAGCUGAAACUUAAAGGAAUUGACGGAAGGGCACCACCAGGAGUGGAGCCUGCGGCUUAAUUUGACUCA
Molecule: ribosomal RNA, 583 nt
Filed under: uncultured marine eukaryote
Lineage: Eukaryota
Description: SSU rRNA
Rfam family: Eukaryotic small subunit ribosomal RNA
Source: RNAcentral